Molecule: non-coding RNA, 74 nt
Organism: Rhinolophus ferrumequinum (greater horseshoe bat)
Lineage: Eukaryota; Metazoa; Chordata; Mammalia; Chiroptera; Rhinolophidae
Source: the annotation of a RefSeq genome assembly
GGCCCGUUAGCUCAGUUGGUUAGAGCGGGUGCCCUUAACACCAAGGUUGCUGGGUUCGAUUCCCGCAUGGGCCA